AUUGAACGCUGGCGGAAUGCUUUACACAUGCAAGUCGAACGGCAGCACGGGUGCUUGCACCUGGUGGCGAGUGGCGAACGGGUGAGUAAUGCGUCGGAACGUGCCGAGUAAUGGGGGAUAACGCAGCGAAAGUUGUGCUAAUACCGCAUACGCCCUGAGGGGGAAAGUGGGGGAUCGCAAGACCUCACGUUAUUCGAGCGGCCGACGUCUGAUUAGCUAGUUGGUGGGUAAAGGCCUACCAAGGCGACGAUCAGUAGCGGGUCUGAGAGGAUGAUCCGCCACACUGGGACUGAGACACGGCCCAGACUCCUACGGGAGGCAGCAGUGGGGAAUUUUGGACAAUGGGGGCAACCCUGAUCCAGCCAUCCGCGUGAGUGAGAAGGCCUGGUGUAAGCUCUUCAGCUGGAGU
Molecule: ribosomal RNA, 409 nt
Filed under: uncultured bacterium
Lineage: Bacteria
Description: bacterial SSU rRNA
Rfam family: Bacterial small subunit ribosomal RNA
Source: RNAcentral